GCAAGUGCAGAUAGUGCAGCACUGCUGUUCCACUGCCAGGAUUCGAUCAUGCUUGCCACAGGAUCAGAGCCACUGCUCCACUGCAUAGAGAGAAGCAAAAUCCACAACACCAAAUGAAUACAUCUUCUGCCAUGGGAGGAUUCUACACUGUCUAGCCUCCUCUAGGUGCGCCAUUUUCCAUCUCCUCCCACAGUCCACAGACAAGCUGGUGGGUUAAUCGGCUUCUGGGAUCAUUGACCCUGAUAAUCCAGAGGACUCCACGUGCCAGUGAACAAAGUGCCACUCGUCCAUUCUACUCCAACUCUCCUGCGAGGCGCUGUGUACUGUGCAGAAUGUCAAAUGAUGAUAGGCAUGUGCAAGAGACUCAAACCAAUUGGAGACUUCAAAUUGGGUGAGUAUUAAAAUAGAACACAAAAGAAAGGACAAUUGUUCUGACAUCUAAUUCAAAUUAUACUGAAUAUUUUGUUACAUAGCUUUAAAUAUUAACACCAACGGCCCUUGGCUUUGUUGCUAUGAAGGUGCCGUGAUGUUUGUUUUCUUUGUCAGAUCCAAUUAUGCCAGAUACCCAAGAGAGUACUUCCAAUUCCAAAGUUUGUCUUCACUGGUUUGUCUUUGUUCAAACUUUGUCUCCUAGUGUGGCGUCAC
This is a non-coding RNA of Lepisosteus oculatus (spotted gar), 645 nucleotides long. The record is from RefSeq and is a predicted model, not a curated record. NCBI's taxonomy places the organism in Eukaryota, Metazoa, Chordata, Actinopteri, Semionotiformes, Lepisosteidae.